CGUUGUCCGGAUUAUUGGGCGUAAAGGGCUUGUAGGCGGUUUGUCGCGUCUGCCGUGAAAUCCUCUGGCUUAACUGGGGGCGUGCGGUGGGUACGGGCAGGCUUGAGUGCGGUAGGGGAGACUGGAACUCCUGGUGUAGCGGUGGAAUGCGCAGAUAUCAGGAAGAACACCGGUGGCGAAGGCGGGUCUCUGGGCCGUUACUGACGCUGAGGAGCGAAAGCGUGGGGAGCGAACAGGAUUAGAUACCCUGGUAGUCCACGCUGUAAACGUUGGGCACUAGGUGUGGGGGCCACCCGUGGUUUCUGCGCCGUAGCUAACGCUUUAAGUGCCCCGCCUGGGGAGUACGGCCGCAAGGCUAAAACUCAAAGGAAUUGACGGGGGCCCGCACAAGCGGCGGAGCAUGCGGAUUAAUUCGAUGCAACGCGAAGAACCUUACCAAGGCUUGACAUGCACGGCGGCACUGCAGAGAUGUGGUGGCAUUUAGUUGGUCGUGUGCAGGUGGUGCAUGGUUGUCGUCAGCUCGUGUCGUGA
This 531-nucleotide ribosomal RNA is filed under the name uncultured bacterium. RNAcentral's name for it is "bacterial SSU rRNA". It matches the Rfam family "Bacterial small subunit ribosomal RNA", at positions 539 to 1070 of the family's 1533-position model. The record is from RNAcentral.